Molecule: ribosomal RNA, 522 nt
Filed under: uncultured bacterium
Lineage: Bacteria
Description: bacterial SSU rRNA
Rfam family: Bacterial small subunit ribosomal RNA
Source: RNAcentral
AGAGUUUGAUUCUGGCUCAGGAUGAACGCUAGCUACAGGCUUAACACAUGCAAGUCGAGGGGCAUCAUGACGAUAGCUUGCUAUAGUUGAUGGCGACCGGCGCACGGGUGAGUAACGCGUAUCCAACCUUCCCCUUAGUAGGGCAUAGCCCGGCGAAAGUCGGAUUAAUACCCUAUGUUAUUCGUAGAGGACAUCUGAAAUGAAUCAAAGAUUAAUCGCUAAGGGAUGGGGAUGCGUCCGAUUAGGUAGUCGGCGGGGUAACGGCCCACCGAGCCUUCGAUCGGUAGGGGUUCUGAGAGGAAGGUCCCCCACACUGGUACUGAGACACGGACCAGACUCCUACGGGAGGCAGCAGUGAGGAAUAUUGGUCAAUGGACGGGAGUCUGAACCAGCCAAGUAAGCGUGCAGGAAGACGGCCCUAUGGGUUGUAAACUGCUUUUAUACGGGGAUAAAGUCGCCCACGUGUGGGUGUUUGUAGGUACCGUAUGAAUAAGGACCGGCUAAUUCCGUGCCAGCAGCUGC